GGGCAGGAAUGGUUUCCCAAUCUUGAAGUCUGGCUUCUUAUUUUUCCACUAGUAGCUUACCGGAUCUCUGUAACAGAACACUCGGCUCUUACAGACAGCAGACCAGUCCAGCCAGGUCAAGACCACCAGAGCUAUGUGAUGAUGAAGAAAGUCAUAGGUGAGAGCUGAGUAGCUCACAACAGUUGACCAGAUGUAGCUACUACAUAAAUACAUGGAGAAAGAGCAUGUGGAUAUAUAUGUUAUCCGUAGUACAUUGAAGUGGAGGUUGAAGCAGCAAAGGAAAAUCUUGUCUGGAACUUGGGAGAGCAUCAAGGGAUUGUGGCACACAGACUGCGCCAUCUUUGUUGUACACCACUGAUGGAUGAAGUAGUGGUACUGGAAUGUGUGAUUACACAGAUCCGUGGAAUAAGUGCAGAAGUGGAAAUGUUUGGAGGGAAAGGAGAAGGAGAAAGAUGAGAUAUGAGGUCAAGAGAG
Molecule: long non-coding RNA, 474 nt
Filed under: Heterocephalus glaber (naked mole-rat)
Lineage: Eukaryota; Metazoa; Chordata; Mammalia; Rodentia; Bathyergidae
Description: lncRNA (ENSHGLG00100035398.1)
Source: RNAcentral